Molecule: small nuclear RNA, 311 nt
Filed under: Jaculus jaculus (lesser Egyptian jerboa)
Lineage: Eukaryota; Metazoa; Chordata; Mammalia; Rodentia; Dipodidae
Description: 7SK RNA (ENSJJAG00000006986.1)
Rfam family: 7SK RNA
About the family: 7SK was discovered as an abundant small nuclear RNA in the mid-70s but a possible function has only recently been suggested. Two independent studies have found that 7SK RNA binds the CDK9/cyclin T complex (known as elongation factor P-TEFb).
Source: Rfam by way of RNAcentral
GGAUGUGAGGAUGAUCUGGCUGCGACAUUUGUCGCCCCGUUGAUCGCCAGGGUUGAUGCGGCUGAUCUGGCUGGCUAGGCGGGCGUCUCCCUUCCUCCCUGCCGCUCCAUGUGCGUCCCCCCUGUAGCUGCGUGCUCGGUUGAAGAGGACGACCUUCCCCGAAUAGAGGAGGACCGGUCUUUGGUCAAGGGCAUACGAGUAGCUGUGCUCCCCUGCUAGAACCUCCAAACAAGCUCUCAAAAUACAAAAUGGUCUGGUGAUGGAGUUCUGUGGUAUAGUACUUGCCUAACUUGUGAAGUUCCAGAUUCAGU